RNAcentral lists this ribosomal RNA (497 nucleotides) under uncultured bacterium. RNAcentral describes it as "partial 16S ribosomal RNA". It matches the Rfam family "Bacterial small subunit ribosomal RNA", at positions 30 to 523 of the family's 1533-position model. The record is from RNAcentral.
AUUGAACGCUGGCGGCAUGCCUUACACAUGCAAGUCGAACGGUAACGGGCCUUCGGGUGCCGACGAGUGGCGAACGGGUGAGUAAUGCAUCGGAACGUACCUUUCAGUGGGGGAUAACGUAGCGAAAGUUACGCUAAUACCGCAUAUUCUGUGAGCAGGAAAGCAGGGGAUCGCAAGACCUUGUGCUGAUUGAGCGGCCGAUGUCAGAUUGGCUAGUUGGUGAGGUAAAGGCUCACCAAGGCGACGAUCUGUAGCGGGUCUGAGAGGAUGAUCGCCACACUGGAACUGAGACACGGUCCAGACUCCUACGGGAGGCAGCAGUGGGGAAUUUUGGACAAUGGGGGCAACCCUGAUCCAGCCAUGCCGCGUGAGUGAAGAAGGCCUUCGGGUUGUAAAGCUCUUUCGGUCGGGAAGAAAUCGCAUGGGUUAAUACCCUGUGCGGAUGACGGUACCGGCAUAAGAAGCACCGGCUAACUACGUGCCAGCCGCCGCCGUAA